UACGUAGGGGGCAAGCGUUGUCCGGAAUCAUUGGGCGUAAAGCGCGUGUAGGCGGCUUGGUAAGUCUGCUCUGAAAGCCCGGGGCUCAACCCCGGGAGGCGGGUGGAUACUGUCAAGCUCGAGUCCGGAAGAGGAGUGUGGAAUUCCUGGUGUAGCGGUGAAAUGCGCAGAUAUCAGGAGGAACACCUAUUGCGAAGGCAGCUCGCUGGGACGUUACUGACGCUGAGACGCGAAAGCGUGGGGAGCGAACAGG
RNAcentral lists this ribosomal RNA (253 nucleotides) under uncultured bacterium. Its description in RNAcentral is "partial 16S ribosomal RNA". It matches the Rfam family "Bacterial small subunit ribosomal RNA", at positions 524 to 776 of the family's 1533-position model. The record is from RNAcentral.